This 305-nucleotide ribosomal RNA is filed under the name uncultured bacterium. RNAcentral describes it as "bacterial SSU rRNA". It matches the Rfam family "Bacterial small subunit ribosomal RNA", at positions 337 to 639 of the family's 1533-position model. The record is from RNAcentral.
CCCUACGGGGGGCAGCAGUGAGGAAUAUUGGUCAAUGGGCUUACGCCUGAACCAGCCAAGUCGCGUGAGGGAAGACUGCCCUAUGGGUUGUAAACCUCUUUUGUCAGGGAGCAAUUAGCGCUACGUGUAGCGUUAUCGAGAGUACCUGAAGAAAAAGCAUCGGCUAACUCCGUGCCAGCAGCCGCGGUAAUACGGAGGAUGCGAGCGUUAUCCGGAUUUAUUGGGUUUAAAGGGUGCGUAGGCGGAAUGCCAAGUCAGCGGUAAAAUCGCGGGGCUCAACCUCGCUCCGCCGUUGAAACUGGCGU